GGGGGCGGUGGCCGAGGCGAGCCCGGCCGCCGGGGACUGCCCCGGGGUCAGCGGCGCGGCGGGGCCCUGGCUCGGGGCCGGCCCCGCCCUGCCGCGGCCGUUGGGGCCCGCGGCCGUUGGCCCCAACGGCCGCGGGGUUGGGGCCGCCCGUUCGUUGCGCAGCUGAGCGGGUGCCCGCAGCGCUGCUUCCGCUCGCGGCGUUUCUGGCGCUGCCUCGGCGCGGAGCAGAUAAGGCCGUUGCGGGCAGUCAGUUGUCGUGGCUGUCACCCGCUGACUUCUGUAACGCUCUGCAUAAGGGCUUUAGAACAUUUGAAAAACUACACCCAUUAUAAUAUUACAUCAUGCAGGUUGCUGCAGCUCUGGCAACUCGACUCCAGCCAGCUGGUUUGGUUUUCCCAAAGACAUCUUGUACUGAAACAGUCUUACUACACAAGCUUUGCAGUGAUAUUGAAAUAUUCUGCUGUACUGUAUGCAUUGAAAUAAGGAUCUUUCAGUUCCCUGAAACUUUCAAUAUGUAUGAAAUGCUAACCUCCAAUUCUGGCUUAACACCUGUAGCACAGAAGAGACUGAAAAAGAAUCUAGGCUAUGUUGUAUGUUGGAUUACAGGUUGUUGGACAUUACCAAGAUCACACAUGGGAACUUAACUACAUAGCUGUAGCACAUGGUUGAAGACAAAGAUCCAGGGCUGGAGCUCUAACCUUUUAAUAGUUUCCAAGAUUUUUAGUGGCAUACUGACUAAAUGCUUAAUCAAUUAGCUGCUAACAUGCUCUAUGAGGUUCUUCUUGGAACUUUUAGUAUCAAACAGUUCUUCAUGUGGUACUGACAGGUUCUUUACUCUUCCAAGUUAACCUGUCUUGCAAGAAUUAUAUAUGAACAACACUACGUAUUUUGACAGAAUUACAUUUUUCUGGUGAGUGCAGUGCAGAAAUUCAGAUACCAAGUAACAGAUAAGAAGCGCCUCUGAAAGUCUUUUGGUGGACACAGAAGAGACUGCCAAAAGUGUAAUUCAACCUGGAAGAUAGGAGAAACACCCAAAUGGGCUUCAGCAGAAGAUAUCACCAAUGCUGAAGUGAAUUAGUUCUCCCAUUUGGGCAAACUGAGUAAUUCUACUUCACAGAGACUAAAUGUGCACAGGCUUAUGCGAACAAGGUGAGAAGUUCUGGUAUCAUAUCCCUGUUGCACUGACUGUUACAUGUCCAGUCUUAUUUUCCUUAAUCCUCUUAUUUUAUGUCACUAAGUCAUGAAUUAAGCUUAAAAUAUCACAAUUAAGCCAUUAUGUUUUCCAUUGUUUUACUGAAACUGAAAAAGUAGUCUGUACCAAAAUGUACACAAUUUAGUAGUAAUACAAAAUGUUAAUUCUGCAAGACAGAAUGUCAGUUAAAUUCACCAAAAUGAACACUGAACCACCAUUUAUUGCCAGUACAGUGUUACUUUAAAUAAUAAGAUCACUGAAUGAACAUAGAAACAAAGUAGUUCCACCUUUCCUUAAAUAAAAUGGUAGCUAUUAACAACAAUACUGCAGGAAGAUAAACAUUCAUGAUAUUUACAUGCUAUCAGAGCAUCUAGCAUGUAGUAUGACUUCGUGCUUGCACAUUAGUUUUAUGAGAUCAUUACAAUAAUAUUAAUGUGUUGAUGUACUACAAAACAACCCAUCAUGAUUUGUAUCAAAUUUGCACAUUAGAAGAGCACCUUUGCUAGUCACCCCUGUAGAAGUGCCACUGCAUUCCUGUAAGAAACCCAGCUAGGCCAAUCCACUGGUAAUUUUCUUUUUUACUAAAAAGAAAAUUUAUAGAGCCAAAAAAAAAAAAAAAAAAAAAAAAAAAAAAAAAAAAAGCUAGUCACAGAAGAAAAACUUAAUAUGCUAGACAGGACGAUGCAUUUAGCAAGCUUCCCGAUGGUGAAUCAAACCAGAAAAAAAAUGGGUUUCCUGUAUUACAUUAAGAACACCUGAGGCUGUUUCACUGGUCCAAGUACAGUAUUUUAAUACAAAAACUGUUUGUUGCAUUAACUUGUUGUUUCACUGGAUUCCCUUAAUAACUACUUCUCAUUAAAAAAAAAAAAAAAAAAAAAAAAAAAAAAAAAAAAAAAAAAAGCAAUGCAAGAGUUUUUCUUAAAAUAAAUACUCCCCCCCCAAAAAAAGUUUAAAAAGGAAUUAAAACACAAAAAAAUAUAGUAUUGAAGUACAGUGUGAUCUUCUGGCUUUAUUUUAUCUCAGUUUAGGUAGCAGAUACACACUUACUCCAGGGGAAUAAGUGUGAAACGCUAAAAAAAUUCUGAGUACGCAAACACACUGUACUUUAAGAGAUUUCUUUUAAAAGAAGUGUAAACAUCUGUCCUUGACUUCCGUUGUUUGAAUCCACUUCUAUCAAAAGAAGUUUAACAAACUGCAUUUACUUAAAGUAUUAACUGUCUGACACAACAGUCCUUUUUUGGAGUUACUAGUUUCAGAAUCUGUUUUUUUCUACCUGAACAAAAUGACAAAACAGUUGAAGACACUGUUUUUUCCUACUUCAGUGAAGGAUUAUAUUUAAUAAUUCAGCACUCCAUACAUCAAGAAUUUUCCUUAAAGGAAUAACUUAAAU
Long non-coding RNA from Dromaius novaehollandiae (emu), 2582 nucleotides. RefSeq lists it as uncharacterized. NCBI's taxonomy places the organism in Eukaryota, Metazoa, Chordata, Aves, Casuariiformes, Dromaiidae. The record is from RefSeq and is a predicted model, not a curated record. The transcript has 2 exons.